RNAcentral lists this ribosomal RNA (508 nucleotides) under uncultured bacterium. Its description in RNAcentral is "bacterial SSU rRNA". It matches the Rfam family "Bacterial small subunit ribosomal RNA", at positions 32 to 523 of the family's 1533-position model. The record is from RNAcentral.
AAUCAACGCUGGCGGCGUGCCUCAGACAUGCAAGUCGAACGAUUAAGACUCUCUUCGGAGAGUGUAUAAAGUGGCGCACGGGUGAGUAACACGUAGGUAAUGUACCGAAGGGUGGGGAAUAACUUAGGGAAACUUAAGCUAAUACCGCAUAAUGCAGCGGCUCGACAUCGAGACAGUUGUUAAAGGAGCAAUCCGCCUUUUGAGCAGCCUGCGGCAGAUUAGCUAGUUGGUAAGGUAAUGGCUUACCAAGGCUACGAUCUGUAACCGACCUGAGAGGGUGGUCGGGUCACACUGACACUGAAUAACGGGUCAGACUCCUACGGGAGGCAGCAGUCGGGAAUUUUGGGCAAUGGGCGAAAGCCUGACCCAGCAACGCCGCGUGAAGGAUGAAGUAUUUCGGUAUGUAAAGCUCUGUGGAGAGGGACGAAUAAGUGUCGUCGAAUAGACGGCAUGAUGACGGUACCUUUUUAGCAAGCACCGGCUAACUCUGUGCCAGCAGCCGCGGUAA